Molecule: non-coding RNA, 779 nt
Organism: Pelodiscus sinensis (Chinese soft-shelled turtle)
Lineage: Eukaryota; Metazoa; Chordata; Testudines; Trionychidae
Source: RefSeq, a predicted model, not a curated record
GUUCCUCUCCAAGGGGACGGACGGACACUCGUACUGGAUUGGACUCACCGACCAGGGCACUGAAGGCCGCUGGCGCUGGGUGGACGGCUCAGAAUACAGAGCAGACGCCAGCAGGGGGUUCUGGUUGCCCGGUGAGCCUAACAACAGUGGAGGCAGAGAAGACUGUGCUCACUUCCACACACGGAAGCAGACUUUGUGGAAUGACGCCCCUUGCACUGAAUCUAUUCGGUGGAUUUGUAAGCAGGCCCAUGGACAGGAGGUGAUGCGCAAUAUCCCCUGCUGAAGCAAGCAGGAGCAAAGCCUCGUGACUUGGGUGUUCGUUUGUGAGCGCUGACAGCACCGCACCAUCCUCCCUGAUGCUGCCCCGGCCACACACAGAGCAAAGACAUCGUCCUCCUCCUUCUCUCUUCUCUUCUUUUUCACGCAUGGUUUGUUUGGGGUGGAACUUAGGGCUGUGGGGUGGGGUGACCCUGGAUGUUGAGUCCAGUGGAGAAGGGGGGCUAUUUUGUUUCAUCUCAUUAUUUUCCAUAUGCUUUGCCGUUCUUUCUGGCUGUAGCAGAGACACUGGUCCCCUGCUGCCCGGCAUGUAUGGGUCUCUAAUUUGUAUGUUUCCAGGUCUGUCAGUAAAUAAACUACUUGGACCAUGGAGUUACUACUUCCAAAUCAUUCAAUAAAUAAUAAUUUGCUGCCUUCCACUAGAAUUUCUAUUUUGUUUUUGCACCUUGAAAAUCAGAUGCAGAAAGAUGUAGAAAUACAUAUAUAUUCUCUAAAUAUAGAAA